UUGAUAUAAGUAAACAAACUGAAAUUUGUAAUUGCCAAUCAGGAAAUCUUAAUGUCAAAUACUGAAUUCUUCCACCAACUAGCUGGGAGACAUAUCCAUUGCAGUGCCAAAUAAAGAAAGUUUUCCGAGAAUUAACAGCAGGACAAUGGUCCGCUUGUUGUAUAUAAUAAAUAUCACACUGGUGUUGUAUAUGUGUAGCCGGUGCUAGAAUUUACAUAUGCAUGCUCCACAACCUAUGUUCGUACAAACACAGAUCAUACCGAAGGAAAAAUAUGCUCUGGUCGGGAAGCAGAGUCCUGGACAAAAGUGAAGUUCACAAAAGACAAUCAUACAUAGGCCAUUGUUUUAACUCGUAGUUUAGGCCUUGCCAGACUCCUCGCAACCCGGUGGCCUGAAUGCGAUGAAGCUGACGCACUGCACCUGGCGCAGGUUGUCGAAGCCGAUGACGCGGACAUAGGCGUCAGGGUACUCCUUCUUGACCUCCUCCACCUCGUUGAGCACCUGCGUGGCGUCGGUGCACCCGAACAUAGGCAGCUUCCACAUUGUCCAGUAUCGACCGUCGUAGUACCCGGAGGAGCUGUUGUGCUCACGGAAGACGAAGCCAACCUUGCUGAACUCGAGGCAGGGCACCCACUUGGAGCGGAUCAGGUAGUCGACCUGCUUCAGGAGGGCCUCCGUGGAGAGGGGUGGCAAGUAAGACAGGGUCUCGAACUUCUUGAUGCCCUCAAUCGGCCACACCUGAAUGAAUGGAAAUUGUGGAAUGCACACAACUGCUUAACACUUGGUGCUAGUAAAUUGUACGUACAGAGGAAGAAACUCAUAUCAGUUUUGUGCCUCGAGUCUCGACAUACCUGCAUGCACCUGAUCCUUCCGCCAUUGCUGACGCGGCCGAGGCUGCCGCUGGAGCGGCGGCUGACGGGGAGACCGGCUGUGGACUUGAGCCCCUGGAAGGGUGCGACGGUGGUAGCCGACGAAGCCAUCACGGCGGGGGCCAUGGUAUUGUAUUAUCGGAGGAGAGGAGGAUGCCGGCUACAGGUGAGGCCACCAUUGCCGGGUCACUACGGUAUAUAUAGCCAGACACUUAGCGUCGUUUCUUUGGUACAGAUGUGGUUGGGGUGGCUGACGUUCUCUGGUUGCCUCGUUUCCUUAUCUUCUCCGGAUCAGUGGAAGAAGCAUGGCCGUCGGAUGCGUUGUGUGUGCUGGAAAUUUCAGUCCUUCAUGUCAUUGGCUGGCUGCCACACAACCUUUUUCCAGCUUUUCUUGUUUUUGGUUUCAUUUAAAGCCAAAAGUUUCUUGAGUACAAAUUUUCUGAGAUGCGACUUGAGUGGUGCGGGCAAAAUAUUUUACAUUUUAUCAUAAGAUCUGAUGGCUCACUCUCUCGAAAGUAUGCCCAUAGGCGUAGAGUGUGCGUGUGUGCAUUUAUAGGGGUUGUUGUACAUGUGUGUAUGUGAACGUCUACAUUUGUACACCGUUUCUCAAAAUAAAAUAUAUGUUUUGUUGGUACAAUUAAUUGAACUAGCAUAGUAACCGUCCACACGCAGAACAAGUUCUUUCCCCUCUCGCAAGGCAACUAUUGAAAGCUUUCCAGCCCUCUAUAUCCGCCAGUGAGCCCGUGGAUCCGCCUCCCCUCUGCCGGAAGGGGGAUUCCUGGUGCCUCAGCUCUGGCUAGUAGAUAAGUAGGGUUUUUAGUCCUCAUAGGUGAGGCUCUUGGACGGAUGGCAGCCCUUCUUCUUCGAGCCAAUCUUUCGGGAUCCGAUCCUCUUCAAGUUCCUCUGUCUAGGGAGCUCCGACGUAGAUUCUUGCCAGCUCCUCAGGCGGCGAGGUUAGGAUUUCUCGUCAUGCGUAUGCACAAUGAAAUUUGUGUCAGGUUCUUUAGAUCGAUUCAGGGAUUCAACGGCGGCGACUGCGGCUCCAGAGCACUAGUCCUUAGGGGCACGUGCAUGAAGACUUCCUGGCUGUCAUCGACAAGGUCAAGGUAGCUCUAGAGUGGGAGCAACGACAACGGUGCUUUAGUGGCUCGUCUCUAUGCGUAGGAACGAAAAGAAAGCCCUAUAUCUCGACUUUUUGACAACUCUCUGUGACAAUGGGAUUGAGCUACUCCAUACCUUGUUUUAAACACUACUGGGUAGGAACGAAAAGCUCUAUAUCUCAACUAUUAACACAUAUGGCUAAAUCUGUACCUUGAAUUAUAGGAUAUGCCAAUCGGUCAGUGGUGGGCGGUCUCUCACAUACAUUGUCUCUCAAGUAGGGCUGCAAAUGAGACGAGUUCGAGCGAGUUGGACUUGACUCAGCUCAACUCAUAUUAAAAUUCGAGCAAGCUCAAACUGAGUGAAGCUCAAGGUCAAGCUGUAGAACAUGACUCAUGCUCAACUUGUAACGAUCUCGAGUCGAUCUCGAGCUAGUUUCGAGUUAAAUGAGAUGAUAAAAUUUAUAAAUUUUAUGACCAUUAUUCCAACUAGAUAAGCACAACAUGACAUAAAAAAGCACAAAAAAUAUUAUUCCAAUCAGAACAAUGAUAAUACAAUUUUCUUUUGAAAUGAUACAAAUUUUGUUAGAAGUAGUUUAACUUAUUCUAUCACAACCGAAAGUCUAGUAUCAACGUAAGAUAACGAUUCACGACAUAUAUAUAAUUGCGAAAACGAAGGUGCAUAUGCUGGGAACUUUUGCUAGAAACAACAAAAUAUUUAACACAUGGUCGACCACAUACCAUAAUAAGGCCUAAAUUUUCUCUACAACUAAUUAAGCUUCGAUGUUUGUUUGUAAAUGAAAUGGAGAAAAAUCCUGGAUGGCACAUAUGGUAUUAAAUUAUCAUAUUUUCAUUUAUUAUAUGGCAUGAUCAUUUAACAUAAUGAUAUUAUGCCGAGCUAUCGAGCUAAAACCGAGCGAGCCAGUAUUGGCUCAAGAUCGGCCCGUUUCUCGACUGAGCUAUAGAAAGUGUUUGUACUCAACUCGUUUCUUUUCAAGUCGAGUCAAAAAUCGAGUCGAUCUCGAGCCGCUCACGAGCCUCAAGCUUUUCUUACAGCCCUACUCUCAAGCAGUGUCAUGUUGAGACAACUCAAUCAUCCUACUUUCCAUCCCAUAUGAGCGGCAGAUAACGGAAAGACAUUAAUAUCACAAGGCCUGGACCGGAGGCAAUAAGUUGUAUGGACAACCAUGAAGCCUAGAAUAAUUAUGUUCCUCUCAUGAUAUCGAUGCCCUGGCACCUGGAGGUCUCUCGAUUUGCGCCUCGAGUUGAACUUCUCCAACUACACCAAUUGAUCGGAUGGCUCCAAUCACUAAAUUACCGCAAGAGUAAAUAAUACCAUGAAGAGGAAAAACAGGAAUAGACGAUGCAUAUCAAAUAACCGCUUACUAGCUGACCGACCCAUAGCCAACGAUUACUCAAAUAACAUCACAUAUAAAAGGGUUUAAGAGUUGUUACAACCCAUUACGGAGACUGUGAUGGGGGACGAGAAGGGGUAUGGGUGAGGGCGGAGUGGCGACGGCGGCGCUUCUCCAGCAUUGCCUCCUUCAAGGUUGCAAUGAUGGAGAUGGAGGCUUGGCACAGCCCUCAAGUGUUUUUUUAUGUCGAUGGCAGCUGGACGUAUGGAUCGUGUCCCCGAGUGGCUAGGGUUGGAGGUGUAUUUAUAAGAACUCUCCCAAAGCCUCCUUCGUUGAUGUAGCAUCUCUACUUUGAUCCAAGUGCUCUACGUGAGCCAAAUAUUUCCCAAAACCUCCCUUGAUGGCAAAGAAAGUAGUAGGAACGAACCGGGACAAAAUCCUCAAAGAAUCCCCGUCUGAAAGGGCAACUUUCGGGCUUGUCUAGGCGUAAUACGAGCACUGGUACAUCCUUUUUUUUAUGUAUCAAAGGUCGUUGAACGCUUUGGACUCUUUGGUAAAACCGCCGUAACUUUUACAUCCGGACUCUAUUUUUGACGUUCAUGUGCUCGUUGGAAUCACGAUAACGGCGCCGAUGCACCUGUGGUAUUACAUAUUGAUUUUGAGCACUUUGGAAAACAACUUUUUUCACUCUCCGAAAUGCCCAAGUCUGGUGUCUCGAUGUCCUUCGUUUGGAUCCUUUUCAUUGUGUUAAGUGCGUGAGAGUUCCACAUUACGUACAAACACACAAAGAAAAAUAAUACUAAUAAGAAUAAAUAUUAUGCAAUGCUCGCGCUGAAAAUGUUAAAUACUGCCAUACUGGAGAUCAUGCAUAUGGACAUGCAAUUGUGGCUCAAUGGCACAUGCUAUACGGAGAUAAUAGGCGACAAAUGAGCUCUAAACGUGUGUAAAAAUAGGUGCCAUCACUUGGAUCAACGAGAUAUUAUCUUGUGGAACACCUUCCAUCCUUUUGAAGGGUGUGCCUAGUAGGUAAUUCCAAUGAAAACAUGGGAUCCACCAGGGUGACCCACCGUUACCACUUCUAUUUUUCUUGGCAGUGGAUUUACUUCAGUCUAUCCUCAGUGACAUGUAUCAUCGUGGGGAGCUCUUUUUUUCAACCCAUCUCAUGAUCUAGACUCUCCAAUUGUGCAGUAUGUUAAUGAUAUGUUGUUGAUUAUGCUGGAUAUUGAUUCUCAGCUUAUUGACCUAAAAGAAAUGUUACAACUUUUGUCUAAAUCCACUUGCUUGAAAGUGAUUUUUUGUAAAUCCUCCAUGGUUCUUAUAAAUGUGAUUGACGAUGAAGCUUCUCAUUGUCCAGUUUGUUUGAGUGUUAACAGGGUAAGAUGCCUUUCACUUACCUGGUUUACCUAUGGUUAACACUAGGCCCAAGAUCUAGGACUUAAUGCCUUUGGUUGAUAUAAUGAAAAUGAAAUUGGCAGCUAGCUCUUCUAUGCUCUCACAAGGUGCUAAAUUGAAACUUUUGAGGUCUGCCAUUUCAUCUAUGCCGAUAUACUAUCUUUGUAGUCUCUAGACUCCCCCUGGAAUUAAACAACUGGAGAGAAUUGAGUAGAAUAUCUCUGGCGUGGCAAUGCUGAUAGCUCAAAUCAACCAUUCGUGAUAUGUCAUCUGGUAUGUAAACCAAAGGAGAAUGGUGGUAUCGGUAUCAUUAACCGUCAUAUUCAAGACCAACCUUUGCUUACAAAACACUUGCGCAAAUUUCAUAAUAAAGCUCAUAUUCCAUGGGUAACUUUGAUAUAGAUUUCUUACUAUCAUGGAGUCAUACCCGACGCAACAGUCCUUUGUGGCUCUUUCUGAUGGAGGGAUAUUUUGGAACUUAACGAUCAGUACAUGGCAAUCUCUUCAAUCAAAGUUAAUAUUGGCAACUUUGCCUUGUUCUUGUCUGAUGCUUGGUUGAUUGAGGGAUUUUCUCUACCUCUUCGACAUCGUUUGGAUAGGCUCUUUUCAUUGCCUUGGAUGACAAAAUUUCUGUUAAAGAUUUUAAAGAAACCCCUGAUCGGGCCACUCUUUUGCACCAGCCAUUUUUUGCUGAGGCGAUGGAUGAAUCGCAACCUCUGGAUGGUUGGUUACACAGCCUUCAGCGAAACCAAACCCUGCCUGAUGUUUGUUCUUGGUAAGGAGGGUCAUUUUCCGCCAAAAUCUUCUACUGCAUGAUGCACAAGCAUAUGCCCACCGAUGAACCUUGCAAAUGGAUAUGACAGAGCACCAUGAAGAUCAAGAUCUUUGCUUAGAUCCUAUUAUUUUAUCAGUUGAACGCUCGGAACAUGCUCCUUAGAAGGCACUGACAUUCUCCUCGGGAUGAAACCCAUUGUGCUCACAUGAGCAAAGAGACCACUUGCUUUUCUCCUAUAAUUUUAGUCAAAGGAUUUGGACUUAUUUACAGAUUGAUUGGAGCCCCAGACGAAACACUAGACAAUGUAUUGAUGCUGCAUGUAGACGAUUUGGACACCCUUUCUUCUUUGAAGUGGUGUUCUCUUGGAACUAAUAUUUGUAUUAUUACAAAUGGCAAGAUCUUCACAGGGGAGAGGCCAUCCUUUCCUGCUUGGUGUUGUAAAUUUGUACAUGACAUCUCUUCUUGUAGAUAGAGUUAAUGCUUACCAAAGCUCCUGGAUUGGAUUAGUAAUCUCCAUUAGAUAAAUAGGUAGGUAGGAAAGUGUUGUUUUUCCUUUUUUCUUGGUUCCCUUUGUAAACAUUUUUUGCUUGCUUUUGUUUUGAUGGAAUAAAGGACUGGAGCUGUUGCUCCAUACUAGUUACAAAAAUCCGAGUUUUUUCUUGAUUUUUCACUAGUAUGAUUACACUCCUUCACAAAGGAGCUCAUGCAAUGCAUGUUGGAGAUUUAUUUCAAUAGUUCCAUAACAUGUUUUGAAUGCUGUUGCUAUCUAGUUCAGUUAGAUGCUUAUUGUCCAGACCAACAAAAGUUCUUUAGUAAGGGUCUCUACAAGAAUAUGUUUCAUCCUAGUCUACUAGCAAAAACCGAUGUAGAUGCUGGUAGUGACAUGGAAAAGAAACCAUAAUCUUUUUGUAUUGAUAAGUAAAGAAACUGAAAUUUGCAACUGCAAAUCAGGGGAUCUUAAUGUCAAAUACUGAAUGCUUCCACAACUAGUUGUGAGACAUAUUCAUUGCAGUGCCAAAUAAAGAAACUUUUCCUGAAUUAAUAACAGCAAGACAAUGGUCCGCGUGUUUGUAUAUAAUAAAUAUCACACAGGUUUUGUAUAUGUGUAGCCGGUUCUAGAAUUUACAUAUGCAUGCUCGAGAACCUAUGUUCGUACAUACACACACAGACCAUAUAGAAUGAAAAAUAUGCUCUGGUCGUCCAGCAGAGUGGUGGACAAAAGUUAAGUUCACAAAAGACCUUCAUACAUAGGCCAUUGUUUCAACUCGUAGUUUAGGCCUUGCCAGACUCCUCGCAACCCGGUGGCCUGAAGGCGAUGAAGCUGACGCACUGCACCUGGCGCAGGUUGUCGAAGCCGAUGACGCGGACAUAGGCGUCAGGGUACUCCUUCUUGACCUCCUCCACCUCGUUGAGCACCUGUGUGGCGUCGGUGCACCCGAACAUAGGCAGCUUCCACAUUGUCCAGUAUCGACCAUCGUAGUACCCGGGGGAGCUGUUGUGCUCACGGAAAACGAAGCCAACCUUGCUGAACUCGAGGCAGGGCACCCACUUGGAGCGGAUCAAGUAGUCGACCUGCUUCAGGAGGGCCUCCGUGGAGAGGGGUGGCAAGUAAGACAGGGUCUCGAACUUCUUGAUGCCCUCAAUCGGCCACACCUGAAUGAAUAGAAUGCGCAGAUGCUCAAUACUUGGUGCUAAGUAAAUUAAUUGUACCAACAAUUCUAGAAAAAUCUGUUGAUGAGCAAAAAAUUGCUCCUGAUGGACAGGUCUCAUAUGCAUUGUUCGUUUGUCCACAAUGAAGAAAGCUUAAGGGUAGCCCUUAAACUGAUGGGCACUCUGAAGGUACUAAGAUAAUUUUAUCUAGUCCAUGCUGCAAUAAAAAGUAUUUCCAUUCACUAAGUUAUGAGUUGAUUGCUUUUACAUACGGAUCCCAGCUUAGGGACAAGGUUGAAUGAGCAUCCAAAGCCAAAUGGUUUCCAUAGGCAACAAAACAAACAGAUAAUAAGGUUUCGGAAUAAUCUGUUGACCAAAUUAUGUUAUAAAUUGGGGAUGUUCUGCAAGUGAAUUACUUGUACUGCCAAAGAAACUCAUGUCAGUUUAAUUAGUGACUGACAUACCUGCAUGCACCUGAUCCUUCCGCCGUUGCUGACGCUGCCGAGGCCGGCGCUGCUGGAGCGGCGGCUGACGGGCAGGCCCGCGGUGGACUUGAGACCCUGGAAGGGUGCGACGGAGGUGGCCGAGGAAGCCAUCACAGUGGGGGCCAUGGUGUUGGAGGAGGGAAGGUGGCAGGCUAAGCUUGAGGCCCCCAUUGCUGGGUCACCACGGUAUAUAUAGCCAUAUAUGGCCAGCUCCUAUCUUUAAUCAAGAUGUGGAAGGGGUGGCUGGCGUUCGUUGGUUGCCUGGUUUCCUUAUCUCUCCGGAUUAGUGUAAGAGGCAUGGCCGUUGGAUGAGUUGUGUGUGCCGAAAAUUUCAGUCGUCCAUGCCAUUGUGUGAUUGCCACAAACCCUUUUUCCAGCCUUGCAUGUACUGUAUUAUUCUUUUCGUUUUAUUUUGCUAAAGGUAACGCUUGAAAGGUGCAGGAAGAACUUCCUUUGCUGAUUUGCGAUUUAAGUUGAGUGGCACAGGCAUAACGAAUGUUAUAGUACAUCCUUUAUCCACUUCUAUAAUACAAACUUGUCAAUCAAUUAUGCUUGCUUGUAACCUUUGGCGCUUCAUUUUAUAAAAUUUUAUACAGGUAACGUACACAUUUGCUGCAUGUGUGAUGUGUGUCAUCAUGACCUUUAUGUCUUUUAUUCACAAUUAUUCAUUGGAACACAAAAGUGUUGUACUGUUUUCUACGCCUAAUCAUUUACAUGCCCUGGAGGAUUUUUAGUAUUGGAAAUGCUAUUUAAUUGGGUGUCCAAGCAAGGUAGAACUUUGUUCUAAUCCACGAGCAAAAGUUUUAGAUCCCUCUGUUGUCCAUUUACUCAGUUCGUGUCGGCCCCAGUGAACUCAUAAAUUACAUAUGGUGAGUCCAUCAUGAUUUUGUAUCAUCGUUGAAUCUAGCCCACAAAAAAGGCAGAUGUAUAUUCAUUCAUUUCAUGGUGAUGAAGCAACCUGCAAAAUGAUGCGAUCGACCAUGACCACUCAGUGAUAUGGCAAUCAUGUAGACGGACAUUGUGAUCAUCUAGUCAUUUAAGAUAGAUGUCGUGAUCUUCUUGUGUGACCGUCUCAUAGAUUUGAGCUGCAAAUCGAAUCUUAUAUUCUUCCAAAAAAAAUUCUGAAUUUCCUGCAUGUAAGAUGAUAAAGCUGAGUUUGUAAUUAAUUAUUUUUUGUGAAUCCUUAAUGAUAAUUAACACGACCCAGAUAUUACAAAAUAUCCAUAAUUAUCAUGACUGAAUCAAUAAAUUACUAUUGCAGAAUGAACCUUCCAUAGGCCCCUCCACUUGGGCCCGCCGGUGGAGAGAUUCAUCACUCAUGGGCCACAAAACGCCAGCCAUGCAGGAGGACCUUCACUAACGGGCCCUUAAGUUGGCAUCAAUGGAGGGUCACCCAUGGGGCCCAUAGAUCCAACUGAAUGGACGGUCCAUCUCUACUGACGGUCGUACCACACCACUCGUCAAUGUUGGGUGGCCCGUCGGUGCUGAAUUAAGGUAUUUCUAUCUACUGGAGACGAAGUGGCCUUAUAUGCGCUUUCUCUUUUCUCCUAAACAAAACCAUGCCGCCGCCCCCAAUCCCUUCAUCCCCAACAUCAUCACCACCCUAUCCAAUGUUUUCGUCUCCUUUCAUGUGUGCCCCCUCCUUCUCCCACAUUGAUCUGGUCCAACGCUACCGUCUCAUCCCGCGAUUAUCGUCAUCUACUCUUCGGUUACUCGUGACGGCGCGGGUUGUGGCUUCCCGCUUGCUCUCUCGUAAGAAUGGUUGGGUAAACCCCAAGUGUAAGGAUGAAGUAACCUAGUAAUAAGUAUUGUCCUCAAUACGUUUCUCAAACCAGUAGGAAUUUCUUCUACAACCCAAAUCCUCGGUACCUGCACACCAAACACAAAACAAUCUUGCCCCAACGUUUCAAGAAGGUUGUCAAUCUUCUUGUCCUACUAGUUACAAGGAUUAGUUGUUAGUUGAAAGCAAAUAUCGGUUGCUAAGUAGCCUUAGUGCGGUUCGCACCUUUAGACCUGCCAUGGCACUGUCAACACUAUACUCGCCAUGCUUAGGGUUCACACUUUUUAUAUACACCAAGAUCAGCCUAGGUGCUUCGUGUCGUACUAGCACUAAUCCAGCCAUCAAUAUAAAGGAAAUGCUACCCAUAGUUCCAAAGCUUAGUUAUUCAAAUAUGAGUCAGAUAUGGUACUAAUAUUAGUUUAAAAAAGGCACAUGUAGUUGGUCAGCCAAUGUUCCUUCUUGAGUUUCAAAAUACACGUACGCCACUUAAAGAGAGACAUGAGUGAAUAGUAUUUCUUUGUGCCAUCUUCUCCAUCAUGGAUGGGCAACGAACAUUGCGUUGUAUAGAAAGAAGAGUUAUAUCCACCUUUUACAUAGAUUAUGAUUUGCCUAAUUUCGAAGCUUAUUUGUUCAAAUAUGAGUUUGAUAUGGUACUGAUAUUAAUUAAACAAACACACAUUUAAUUGUCAGCUAAUGUUCCUACUUCAGUUUUGAAAUGCAUGUCCGCCCCUUAUAGAGAGACAGAAGAGGUUUGUAUUUCUCCAGGCGCUCUGGUCAUCAUGGUUGAGGGAUGAACUUUGUAUAUCGUAUAGGUUGAAGCUAUCAUCUGCCAACAAUCAUCACUUUUGGAGAUCUCAACAGGGAGCCUUUUUUAAGUAGUAGGGUCAUAUUAUAUUAAUGCACGCACCAAAUUACAACACACAUAGCAUCCCUCGGCAGACUUCUAGAGAUAGUACGCAUGGGUCUAUAAGGACGCACUAUUGGGGUAGAAUCCGCAAUGCAUUUGUGACACCCCGAUUGAGAGAACCGGAGGUCCUCGUGUUCCAGCCCAGAGAUCCAUGUCUUCUGGAACAUGACUAUAACUUGGUACAUGUAGACCAAAAUAAAUAAGUACUUAUGUACAAUAGCGUCUUAAUAGUACAAUCCUCUUGCACAGCAGGUGGACACGUCUAAGUGUCAGAAGCUCAAGGGCUUUAUUCUAUGAGUGACUUAAGGAAGUACUAAAGACGGAAAUAAUACUAAUGACACAACGGAAGACGGGGUACCGGCGGGGCUCCAAUCCAAAGAGACACUGCUGGGACACCAUCUAGUCCAGGUACAUGAACUCUUCGGGAAACUCUUCUAUUGGCUCUCCAGUAUCUGGAAUGAUAAGGCAGGUGAGUACUUUGAAUGUACUCACAAGCCCACAAAUAAUCCAAAGCAAGCAAGAACAGAACAAAUAAACAUAGCAACGAAGUAAAGAUUAGUGAAGCUACUACUAUCAAGACUACUCCAUAAACUUCUCAUUUGCUUGUUUAACGUCCACUGGACCUCUUCCUGGUGAAGGAAAUAUGCCCUAGAGGCAAUAAUAAAGUUAUUAUUUAUUUCCUUAUAUCAUGAUAAAUAUUUAUUAUUCAUGCUAGAAUUGUAUUAACCGGAAACAUAAUACAUGUGUGAAUAUAUAGACAAACAGAGUGUCACUAGUAUGCCUCUACUUGACUAGCUCGUUAAUCAAAGAUGGUUAUGUUUCCUAGCCAUAGACAUAAGUUGUCAUUUGAUUAACGAGAUCACCUCAUUAGGAGAAUGACGUGAUUGACUUGACCCAUUCCGUUAGCUUAGCACCCGAUCGUUUAGUAUGUUGCUAUUGCUUUCUUCAUGACCUAUACAUGUUCCUCUGACUAUGAGAUUAUGCAACUCCCGUUUACCGGAGGAACACUUUGUGUGCUACCAAACGUCACAAUGUAAAUGGGUGAUUAUAAAGGUGCUCUACAGGUGUCUCCAAAGGUACUUGUUGGGUUGGCGUAUUUCGAGUUUAGGAUUUGUCACUCCGAUUGUCGGAGAGGUAUCUCUGGGCCCACUCGGUAAUGCACAUCACUAUAAGCCUUGCAAGCAUUGUGACUAAUAAGUUAGUUGCGGGAUGAUGUGUUACGGAACGAGUAAAGAGACUUGCCGGUAACGAGAUUGAACUAGGUAUCGAGAUACCGACGAUCGAAUCUCGGGCAAGUAACAUACUGAUGACAAAGGGAACAACGUAUGUUGUUAUACGGUCUGACCGAUAAAGAUCUUCGUAGAAUAUGUGGGAGCCAAUAUGGGCAUCCAGGUCCCGCUAUUGGUUAUUGACCGAAGACGUGUCUCGGUCAUGUCUACAUAGUUCUCGAACCCGUAGGGUCCGCACGCUUAAAGUUACGAUGACAGUUUUAUUAUGAGUUUAUGUAUGUUGAUGCACCGAAGGAGUUCGGAGUCCCGGAUGAGAUCGGGGACAUGACGAGGAGUCUCGAAAUGGUCGAGACGUAAAGAUCGAUAUAUUGGACGACUAUAUUCGGACUUCGGAAAGGUUCUGAGUGAUUCGGGUAUUUUUCGGAGUACCGGAGAGUUACGGGAAUACGUAUUGGGCCUUAUUGGGCCAUACGGGAAAGAAGAAAAAGGGCCUCAAGGGUGGCCGCACCCCUCCCCUUGGUCUGGUCCGAAUUGGACUAGGGAAGCGGGGCGCCCCCUUCCUUCCUUCUCUUUUUCCCUUCCUCUUUUCCUAUUCCAUAUGGGAGGUGGAAUCCUACUAGGACUAGGGAGUCCUAGUAGGACUCCACACUUGGUGCGCCCCCUCCUAGGGCCGGCCUCCUCCUCCCUUGCUCCUUUAUAUACGGGGGCAGGGGGGCACCCCAGAGACACAACAAUUGAUCCUUGAGAUCUUUUAGCCGUGUGCGGUGCCCCCCUCCACCAAAUUACACCUCGAUAAUAUCAUUGCGGAGCUUAGGCAAAGCCCUGCGUCGGUAGAACAUCAUCAUCGUCACCACGCCGUCGUGCUGACGAAACUCUCCCUCAACACUCGGCUGGAUCGGAGUUCGAGGGACGUCAUCGAGCUGAACGUGUGCAGAACUCGGAGGUGCCGUGCGUUUGGUACUUGAUCGGUCGGAUCGUGAAGACGUACGACUACAUCAACCACGUUGUGAUAACGCUUCCGCUGUCGGUCUACGAGGGUACGUGGACAACACUCUCCCCUCUCGUUGCUAUGCAUCGCCAUGAUCUUGCGUGGGCGUAGGAAUUUUUUUGAAAUUACUACGUUCCCCAACAGUGGCAUCCGAGCCUGGUUUUAUGCGUUGAUGCUAUGCACGAGUAGAACACAAGUGAGUUGUGGGCGAUAUAAGUCAUACUGCUUACCAGCAUGUCAUACUUUGGUUCAGCGGUAUUGUGAGAUGAAGCGGCCCGGACCGACAUUACGCGUACGCUUACGCGAGACUAGUUUCACCGUUCGGAGCACUCGUUGCUUAAAGGUGACUGGCGGGUGUCUGUCUCUCUCACUUUAGUUGAACCGAGUGUGGCUACGCCCGGUCCUUGCGAAGGUUAAAACAGCACCAACUUGACAAACUAUCGUUGUGGUUUUGAUGCGUAGGUAAGAACGGUUCUUGCUAAGCCCGUAGCAGCCACGUAAAACUUGCAACAACAAAGUAGAGGACGUCUAACUUGUUUUUGCAGGGCAUGUUGUGAUGUGAUAUGGUCAAGACAUGAUGUGAUAUAAUGUGUUGUAUGAGAUGAUCAUGUUUUGUAACCGAGUUAUCGGCAACUGGCAGGAGCCAUAUGGUUGUCGCUUUAUUGUAUGAGAUGCAAUCGCCAUGUAAUAGUUUUACUUUAUCACUAAACGGUAGCGAUAGUCGUAAAAGCAAUAAGUUGGCGAGACGACAACGAUGCUACGAUGGAGAUCAAGGUGUCGCGCCGGUGACGAUGGUGAUCAUGACGGUGCUUCGGAGAUGGAUAUCACAAGCACGGUGCUUCGGAGAUGGAGAUCACAAGCACAAGAUGAUGAUGGCCAUAUCAUAUCACUUAUAUUGAUUGCAUGUGAUGUUAAUCCUUUAUGCAUCUUAUCUUGCUUUGAUUGACGGUAGCAUUAUAAGAUGAUCUCUCACUAAAAUUUCAAGAUAAAAGUGUUCUCCCUGAGUAUGCACCGUUGCAAAAGUUCUUCGUGCUGAGACACCACGUGUUAAUCGGGUGUGAUAGGCUCUACGUUCAAAUACAACGGGUGCAAAACAGUUGCACACGCGGAAUACUCAGGUUAAACUUGACGAGCCUAGCAUAUACAGAUAUGGCCUCGGAACACAGAGACCGAAAGGUCGAGCGUGAAUCAUAUAGUAGAUAUGAUCAACGUAGUGAUGUUCACCAUUGAAACUACUCCAUCUCACGUGUUAAUCGGAUAUGGUUUAGUUGCUUUGGAUCACGUAAUCACUUAGAUGAUUAGAGAGAUGUCUAUCUAAGUGGGAGUUCUUAAGUAAUAUGAUUAAUUGAACUUAAAUUUAUCAUGAACUUAGUCCUGAUAGUAUUUUGCAAAUUAUGUUGUAGAUCAAUAGCUCGCGUUGUUGCUUCCCUGUGUUUAUUUUUUGUUCCUAGAGAAAAAUUAUGUUGAAAGAUGUUAGUAGCAAAGAUGCGGAUUGGAUCCGUGAUCUGAGGAUUAUCCUCAUUGCUGCACAGAAAAAUUAUGUCCUUGAUGCACCGCUAGGUGACAGACCUAUUGCAGGAGCAGAUGCAGACGUUAUGAACGUUUGGCUAGCUCAAUAUGAUGACUACUUGAUAGUUUAGUGCACCAUGCUUAACGACUUAGAAUCGGGACUUCAAAGACGUUUUGAACGUCAUGGACCAUAUGAGAUGUUCCAGGAGUUGAAGUUAAUAUUUCAAGCAAAUACCCGAGUUGAGAGAUAUGAAAUCUCCAACAAGUUCUAUAGCAAAAAGAUGGAGGAGAAUCGCUCAACUAGUGAGCAUGUGCUCAGAUUGUCUGGGUACUACAAUCGCUUGAAUCAAGUGGGAGUUUAUCUUCCAGAUAAAAUAGUGAUUGACAGAAUUCUCUAGUCACCAUCACCAAGUUAGUAGAACUUCGUGAUGAACUAUGGUAUGCAAGGGAUGACGAAAGUAAUUCCCGAGCUCUUCGUGAUGCUGAAAUCGAUGAAGGUAGAAAUCAAGAAAAACAUCAAGUGUUGAUGGUUGACGAGACCACUUCAAGUGUUGAUGGUUGACGAGACCGCUAGUUUCAAGAAAAGGGCAAAGGGAAAAAGGGGAACUUCAAAAAGAACGGCAAGCAAGUUGCUGCUCAAGUGAAGAAGCCUAAGUCUGGUCCUAAGCCUGAGACUAAGUACUUCUACUGCAAAGGGACUGGUCACUGGAAGCGGAACUACCCCAACUAUUUGGUGGAUAAGAAGGAUGGCAAAGUGAACAAAGGUAUAUUUGAUAUACAGAUUAUUGAUGUGUACUUUACUAGUGUUUAUAGCAAUCCCUCGGUAAUUGAUACUGGUUCAAUUGCUAAGAGUAGUAACUCGAAACGGGAGUUGCAGAAUAAACAGAGACUAGUAAAAGUGAACAAAGGUAUAUUUGAUAUACAGAUUAUUGAUGUGUACUUUACUAGUGUUUAUAGCAACCCCUCGGUAAUUGAUACUGGUUCAGUUGCUAAAGAGUAGUAACUCGAAAACGGGAGUUGCAGAAUAAACAGAGACUAGUAAAAGGCGAGGUGACGAUGUGUGUUGGAAGUAGUUCCAAGAUUGAUAUGAUCAUCAUCGCACACUCCCUGUACUUUUGGGAUUAGUGUUGACACUAAAUAAGUGUUAUUUGGUGUUUGCGUUGAGCAUGAAUAUGAUCUGAUCAUGUUUAUUGCAAUACGGUUAUUCAUUUAAGUUAGAGAACAAUUGUUGUUCUGUUUACAUGAAUAAAACCUUUAUGGUCAUACACACCAACGAAAAUGGUUUGUUGGAUCUCGAUCGUAGUGAUACACAUAUUCAUAAUAUUGAAGCCAAAAGAUGCAAAGUUAAUAAUGAUAGUGCAACUUAUUUGUGGUACUGCCGUUUAGGUCAUAUUGGUGUAAAGCGCGUGAAGAAACUCCAUACUGAUGGGAUUUUGGAAUCACUUGAUUAUGAAUCACUUGAUGCUUGCGAACCGUGCCUCAUGGGCAAGAUGACUAAAACGCCGUUCUCCAGAACUAUGGAGAGAGCAACAGAUUUGUUGGAAAUCAUACAUACAGAUGUAUGUGGCCCGAUGAAUAUUGAGGCUCGUAGCAGGUAUCAUUAUUUUCUGACCUUCACAGAUGAUUUGAGCAGAUAUGGGUAUAUCUACUUAAUGAAACAGAAGUCUGAAACAUUUGAAAAGUUCAUAUAAUUUCAGAGUGAAGCGAAAAUCAUCGUAACAAGAAAAUAAAGUUUCUACGAUUUGAUCGUGGAGAAGAGUAUUUUAGUUACGAGUUUGGCCUUCAGUUAAAACAAUGUGAAAUAGUUUCACUACUCACGCCACCUGGAACACCACGGUGUAAUGGUGUGUCCGAAACAUCGUAACCGUACUUUAUUAGAUAUGGUGCGAUAUAUGAUGUCUCUUACCGAUCUACCACUAUCGUUUUAGGGUUAUGCAUUAGAGACAGCUACAUUCACGUUAAAUAGGGUAUCAUCUAAAUCCGUUGAGAUGACGUCUUAUGAACUGUGGUUUGGCAAGAAACCAAAGUUGUCGUGUCUUAAAGUUUGGGGUUGCGAUGCUUAUGUGAAAAAGUUUCAUCCUGAUAAGCUCAAACCCAAAUCGGAGAAAUGUGUCUUCAUAGGAUACCCAAAGGAGACAGUUGGGUACACCUUCUAUCACAGAUCCGAAGACAAGACAUUCGUUGCUUAGUAUGGAUCCUUUCUAGAGAAGGAGUUUCUCUCGAAAGAAGUGAGUGGGAGGAAAGUAGAACUUGAUGAGGUAACUGUACCUGCUCCCUUAUUGGAAAGUAGUUCAUCACAGAAAUCUGUUCCUGUGACUUCUACACCAAUUAGUGAGGAAGUUAAUGAUGAUGAUCAUGUAACUUCAGAUCAAGUUACUACCAAACCUCGUAGGUAAACCAGAGUAAGAUCCGCACCAGAGUGGUACGGUAAUCCUGUUCUGGAGGUUAUGUUACUAGACCAUGACGAACCUACGAACUAUGAAGAAGCGAUGGUGAGCCCAGAUUCCGCAAAAUGGCUUGAGGCCAUGAAAUCUGAGAUGAGAUCCAUGUAUGAGAACAAAGUGUGGACUUUGGUUGACUUGCCCGAUGAUCGGCAAGCAAUUGAGAAUAAAUGGAUCUUCAAGAGGAAGACGGAUGCUGAUAGUAGUGUUACUAUCUACAAAGCUAGAAUUGUCGCAAAAAAGGUUUUCGACAAGUUCAAAGUGUUGACUACGAUGAAAGUUUCUCACUCGUAUCUAUGCUUAAGUCUGUCCGAAUCAUGUUAGCAAUUGCCGCAUUUUAUAAAAUAUGGCAAAUGGAUAAACAAAACUGCAUUCCUUAAAGGAUUUAUUAAAGAAGAGUUGUAUAUGAUGCAACCAGAAUGUUUUGUCAAUCCUAAAGGUGCUAACAAAAUAUGCAAGCUCCAGCGAUCCAUCAAUGGACUGGUGCAAGCAUCUCGGAGUUGGAAUAUACGCUUUGAUAAGUUGAUCAAAGCAUAUAGUUGUAUACAGACUUGCGGUGAAGCCUGUAUUUACAAGAAAGUGAGUGGGAGCACUACAGCAUUUCUGAUAAGUAUAUGUGAAUGACAUAUUGUUGAUCGGAAAUAAUGUAGAAUUAUUCUGCAAAGCAUAAAGGAGUGUUUGAAAGGAGUUUUUCAAAGAUAGACCUCGGUGAAGCUGCUUACAUAUUGAGCAUCAAGAUCUAUAGAGAUAGAUGAAGACGCUUGAUAAGUUUUUCAAUGAGUACAUACCUUAACAAGAUUUUGAAGUAGUUCAAAAUAGAACAGUCAAAGAAAAGAGUUCUUGCCUGUGUUACAAGGUGUGAAAUUGAGUAAAGACUCAAAGCCCGACCACGGCAAAAGAUAGGAAGAGAAUGAAAGUCAUUCCCUAUGCCUUGGCCAUAGGUUCUAUAAAGUAUGUCAUGCUUUGUACCAGAUCUAUUGUAUACCCUACACUGAUUUUGGCAAGGGAGUACAAUAGUGAUCUAGGAGUAGAUCACUGGACAGCGGUCAAAAUUAUCCUUACUGGAAUAAGGAUAUGUUUCUCGAUUAUGGAAGUGACAAAAGGCUCGUCGUAAAAGGUUACGUCGAUGCAAGUUUUGACACUAAUCUAGAUGACUCUAAGUCUCGGUCUAGAUACAUAUUGAAAGUGGGAGCAAUUAGCUAGAGUAGCUCCAUGCAGAGCAUUGUAGACAUAGAAAUUUGCAAAAUACUUACGGAUCUGAAUGUGACAGACCCGUUGACUAAAAUUAUCUCACAAGCAAAACAUGAUCACACCUUAGUACUCUUUGGGUGUUAAUCACAUAGCGAUGUGAACUAGAUUACUGACUCUAGUAAACCCUUUGGGUGAUGGUCACAUGACGAUGUGAACCAUGGGUGUUAAUCACAUGGUGAUGUGAACUAUUCAUGUUAAAUCACAUGGCGAUGUGAACUAGAUUAUUGACUCUAGUGCAAGUGGGAGACUGAAGGAAAUAUGCCCUAGAGGCAAUAAUAAAGUUAUUAUUUAUUUCCUUAUAUCAUGAUAAAUGUUUAUUAUUCAUGCUAGAAUUGUAUUAACCGGAAACAUAAUACAUGUGUGAAUAUAUAGACAAACAGAGUGUCACUAGUAUGCCUCUACUUGACUAGCUCGUUAAUCAAAGAUGGUUAUGUUUCCUAGCCAUAGACAUAAGUUGUCAUUUGAUUAACGAGAUCACCUCAUUAGGAGAAUGACGUGAUUGACUUGACCCAUUCCGUUAGCUUAGCACCCAAUCGUUUAGUAUGUUGCUAUUGCUUUCUUCAUGACCUAUACAUGUUCCUCUGACUAUGAGAUUAUGCAACUCUCGUUUACCGGAGGAACACUUUGUGUGCUACCAAACGUCACAACGUAAAUGGGUGAUUAUAAAGGUGCUCUAUAGGUGUCUCCAAAGGUACUUGUUGGGUUGGCGUAUUUCGAGAUUAGGAUUUGUCACUCCGAUUGUCGGAGAGGUAUCUCUGGGCCCACUCGGUAAUGCACAUCACUAUAAGCCUUGCAAGCAUUGUGACUAAUGAGUUAGUUGCGGGAUGAUGUGUUACGGAACGAGUAAAGAGACUUGCCGGUAACGAGAUUGAACUAGGUAUCGAGAUACCGACGAUCGAAUCUCGGGCAAGUAACAUACUGAUGACAAAGGGAACAACGUAUGUUGUUAUGCGGUCUGACCGAUAAAGAUCUUCGUAGAAUAUGUGGGAGCCAAUAUGGGCAUCCAGGUCCCGCUAUUGGUUAUUGACCGGAGACGUGUCUCGGUCAUGUCUACAUAGUUCUCGAACCCGUAGGGUCCGCACGCUUAAAGUUACGAUGACAGUUUUAUUAUGAGUUUAUGUAUGUUGAUGUACCGAAGGAGUUCGGAGUCCCGGAUGAGAUCGGGGACAUGAUGAGGAGUCUCGAAAUGGUCGGGACGUAAAGAUCGAUAUAUUGGACGACUAUAUUCGGACUUCGGAAAGGUUCUGAGUGAUUCGGGUAUUUUUCGGAGUACCGGAGAGUUACGGGAAUACGUAUUGGGCCUUUUUGGGCCAUACGGGAAAGAAGAAAAAGGGCCUAAGGGUGGCCGCACCCCUCCCCUUGGUCUGGUCCGAAUUGGACUAGGGAAGGGGGGCGCCCCCUUCCUUCCUUCUCUUUUUCCCUUCCUCUUUUCCUAUUCCAUAUGGGAGGUGGAAUCCUACUAGGACUAGGGAGUCCUAGUAGGACUCCACACUUGGUGCGCCCCUCCUAGGGCCGGCCUCCUCCUCCCUUGCUCCUUUAUAUACGGGGGCAGGGGGGCACCCCAGAGACACAACAAUUGAUCCUUGAGAUCUUUUAGCCGUGUGCGGUGCCCCCCUCCACCAAAUUACACCUCGAUAAUAUCAUUGCGGAGCUUAGGCAAAGCCCUGCGUCGGUAGAACAUCAUCAUCGUCACCACGCCGUCGUGCUGACGAAACUCUCCCUCAACACUCGGCUGGAUCGGAGUUCGAGGGACGUCAUCGAGCUGAACGUGUGCAGAACUCGGAGGUGCCAUGCGUUCGGUACUUGAUCGGUCGGAUCGUGAAGACGUACGACUACAUCAACCGCGUUGUGAUAACGCUUCCGCUGUCGGUCUACGAGGGUACGUGGACAACACUCUCCCCUCUCGUUGCUAUGCAUCACCAUGAUCUUGCGUGUGCGUAGGAAUUUUUUUGAAAUUACUACGUUCCCCAACACCUGGCACGAGUCCUGCUCAAACGACUCAUCGACAUAACUUACCAGUUACCACAGCUAUUAGAGUUUAAAGUAAAGGAAUUUUGGUGCUUGGUCAAAUAAUGUGACCUAACACAAACGGUGUCCCAUUGCCAGGGACUCGGCUAUUCGAAUAGUUUGAACACACACUCUGUAGAGGUCACACAGUUUACCCACACCAUAGACUCUUUGUCUAACUAUUCUCAUUCAUAGCAUGGCACUCUAACUAUGCCUCCGACCUCCCGCGGGCUUGCCCUGGCAGAGAGAAUCUGGGUCCUUUCCACCCCGUGUUGCACCACUUGUAUUCCCUUGGGAAUCUUUUCUCUUAAGCUCAUCCACAGACCCUGGCUCUCUUGACUGAAUGGCAACUUCCAAGCCAGAGGAAGUCUACACAUUCCAUCUUCCCUCUUCGGAAACACACGAAAGAAACAUAACUACAAACGUAAUAAAGCCCUCCCAUUCGGACAGAUGUGCUUGUAAUGAGGAUGUUCGGCUUCGUGGCAGUUGGAUUGACCAGCUAUUUAAAGUUGGGUUAACAAGGAAAGUAAAACCGUGACUUUGUAAGCUACUGAAAUCCACAACUUGUUAUCCUACUAGGGUGAAGUAUUCACGAGGAUUCAUCAUCCUAAGUAAAGUCUUUCCCCGAGAUUCUUCGUGAACGUUGCUACCUAUUUUGCUUAUGAUUCAUGUUGGCAAAAUAAUUACCGGUUAUGAGUCAUAGUUAAACUUCUAUUCUACUAGGACCAAAUCAAGGCAUCCUUUAUAGUGACUCACUAUGCUAUUUCAACCACAACAAACUUAACAUAAGCAAAGGGAAGCAACAAACAACAUUGAAAGAAAAGUAAUGUUGGAAAAGAAAUGUAAGUUGAACCCAUGGCCUUGCAAUGCCAUCAAGCAAAUGGAGGUGGUGGCUUGCCAUGCUCAAAUGGAGUAGCAAAGCAUUCUUUGUCUUCACCUCCUGGAUUAUUUCCUUCUGGAAAUAAUUUAAAAAGCAAAAUACAAUAAAGCAAAUAAGUCAAAAGUGUGUCUAGCAGCAUCUAGACAAGUCAAAUAAAUCUCAAAUUAUUCCCACAGAAGGAGAAUAAUAUAAGAAAAGUAAUGCAAAAAGAAUAAACUCAUUUGGAGUUAUGGUUUAAGAGAUAUUACUCAUCACAGCUUAGUCAACAGAAUAUAAGUAAAACAAAAAAUAGCCUGAAAUAGAAAAUCCACCAAGCGGCCACGUCGAAGGCGUAUUUCAGAAAUACGCCCCCACUUACGUACCAGUUCGGCAGGGGUUGUAUCACUGACGGGUGGGGCCAUCCUGUCAGUUUUCUUUUUUAAACACCCGGCCGAGGUGUGGUGUUCUAGCGAGGUCUCACCGGCGACUACAGAGCGCUAGGGCUCGAACGAGUGGGAUCACCUUUUGAGAGGUAUACGCAUUUAUUGUGAUUUGUUAGAAUACUCUAUGUGCUUCACUUAUAUCUUUUGAGCUAGGCAGUUGCUCUGGUGCUUCAUUAUAUCUUUUAGAGCACCGUGGUGGUUAUAUUUUAUAGAAAUGAUUGCACUCUCAUGCUUCACUUAAAUCUUUUUGAGAGUCCAUAUAUAGGAAGUGGUAAUGUGCACGUGUUAUAAGACUAGUCCGAGAAGGAUAGGUAUUCAAGGGGGAUACAAUAAAAACUUUCAUGUAGAUCACUAAAUAUGAAAUGUAUAAUUUAAUGAUAUUGAUGUUGUAAUAUGAAAGGAUAUUAGUUCAUGAUCAUUGGUUAGUAGAAAUAUCAGUAUUAAAACUUGUUAUUAACUUCUCAAAUAAGUGUUGGUCAUGGCAUGGUGGCCAGGUUUGAGCAUUUGUAUUUCUGAUUGAAAUCCUUGAGUGCUAUUAUAAUCGGAUGCGCGCGAUGGUUAACUCCUACCAACAAAUUCCCUAGGGGCAUAUGUGAGUAGUACUUUGCUUAGAAGGAUAAUAGGAGUUCACAAUAAGUAUGUCAGUUCUUUAUGACUAAUGUGAGUCCAUGGAUUAUAUGCACUCCUACCUUUCCGCAAUUUGCUAGGCUCUGCUGUACCGUGCAUUGCCCUUUCUCACCUCGAGAGUUGGUGCACACUUCGCUGGUGCAUCCAAACCCCAUGGUAUGAUACGCUCUAUCAUACAUAAGCCUCCUUAUAUCUUCUUCGAAACAGCCGCCAUACCUACCUAUUAUGGCAUUUUCACAACCAUUCCGAGAUAUAUUGCCAUGCAACUUCCACUGUUCCAUUUUCAUAACAUGUGUGUUCAACGUCAUAUUGCUUUGCAUGAUCAUAUAAAGUUGGCAUGAUAUUUGUGGCAUUGUCACCGUUCAUCAUGAUUAUACAUGUUACGCUAGAUCAUUGCACAUCCUGGUACACUAUCAGAGGCAUUAAUAUAGAGUCAUAUUGUUCAAGUUAUCGAGUUGUAUGUAAAUACAAGUGUGAUGAUAAUCAUUAUUAGAGCAUUGUCCCAGUUGAGGAAACGAUGAUGGAGACUAUGAUUCCCGCACAAGUCGGGAUGAGACUCCGGACGAAAAAAAAGAGAGAAAAGAGAGAAGGGGCAAUGUUACUAUCCUUUUUUUUUGCAAGGUAAUGCUACUAUCCUUUUGAACACUUGUGCUUUAGAGUAGCACCAUGUUCUUCACAUAGAGAGUCUCCUGAGUUAUCACUUUCAUAUACUAGUCGUAUUUUUUCAUUAUAGAAUUUGACUUGCAUAUUCUGAUGAUGGGUUUCCUCAAAUGGCCGAGGCCUUCAUGAUCAAGCAAGUUGGAUGCACAUCCACUUAGUUUUCAUUGAGCUUUCAUACACUUAUAGCUCUUAGUUCAUCUAUUGCAUGGCAAUCCCUACUCCUCGCAUUGACAUCGAUUGAUGGGCAUGUCCAUAGCCCGUUGAUUAGCCGCGUCGAUGCGAGACUUUCUUCCUUUUCAACUUUCCUUAUUAAUCUUUAUCACCGCAUUCUAUUCAACUUAUAGUGUUAUAUCCAUGGCUCACGUUCAUGUAUUGCAUAGGAUUGAAAAUGCUGAAGCGCAUUAGAAGUACGAUCCAUUUGCCUUGUUUGACACCGGGGUGCUCAUGAUUUAUAUUUAUGCAGUGAAGGUGGGGUCAUGCCAUGCUAACAUAAUAAAAUGAGUGGGGAAAGCAUUCAUUGAGGAUUGUAUAUUUUAAAAGGUUAAUGAUUAUGUUUCUUAUAUUCAUGGAUAUUAUUAUGUUGACAUUGUUACUUCAUCGUUUCUCAAUAAUUAUACCGUAAAAAUAUUACAUGAUACACAUGUUAGGUAGCAUUUCACAUCAAAAAUUCUUUUUUUAUCAUUUACCUACUCGAGGACGAGAAGGAAUUAAGCUUGAGGAUGCUAAUACGUCUUCAACGUAUCUAUAAUUUUUGAUUGUUAUAUUAUCAAUCUUGGAUGCUUUAUAUGCUUUGUAUGCUAUUUUAUAUCUUUUUGGGACUAACGUAUUAUUUUGAAUAUUUUUUGAAUUGUUUGGAUUGCUUACCACAUGUGUCAUGUGGUUUGGGACUAACCUAUUAACCCAAUGCCAGUGCCAGUUACUGUUUUUUUGCUUGUUUUUGGCUUUUUAGAAAACCAAUACCAAACGAAGUCCAAACACAAUGAAACUUUACGGUGAUUUUUUCUGGACAAGAAGGGACCCUAAAAGGUUCGGGUGGAGGCUAGAAGAUCUACGGGAGAGCCACAAGCUCACAGGGUGCGCCCCCUGAGCUCAUGGGCCGCACGCAGCUCCAUUUGACCUAAUUUCACCUCCAUAAAUUCACAUAUAUUCCCAAACCAAUAGAGAGCCACCCGAAAUACUUUUUCCGCCGCCCAAGCUUCUAUUUUUCCGUGAGCCCAUAUGGAGGCCUUUUCCGGUACUCUGUCGAAGGGGGAAUCGAUCACAGAGCGCUUCUACAUCAUGCUUGCUGUCUUACAAUGAUGCAUGAGUAGUUCACGACAGACCUACGUGUCCAUAACUAGUAGCUAGAUGGCUUCUUAUCUCUCUUUGAUCUUCAAUACAAUGUUGUCCUCGAUCUUCUUGGAGUUCUUGUAAGUGCAUCUAGUGCCACCCCUAGUUGGUUUUGGAGUAUUGCCGACAAACUUGGUUGAGGGACUAAUGUGUUUGUGAGAAUUGCAGGAUAACACAGGUAGUAGUCCCUCAUUGAUUCGGUUUACCUACCAGAGAUGACCCCUAAAAAUGUGUGAAGACAUUGAAGACAAUGGUGGUCUGUGAAGAUAUUCACAUUGAAGACUAUGACAUGAGAAGACAUCGCAUGAAGACUAUGGAGUGCGAAGACAUAGUUGUUUCGUAGUUUCCUUUUCUUCUUUGUUGAGUCAUAGGAACCGCCGUACUGUUAAGUGGGGUCCAAGUGAACAAAGUCCGAGUGACUGAUGUGAUGCUCAACCAAAUCCUAUGUCUUCGAGCGAAGACAAUGAGUGCAAAUCUUAUCCAGAGUUGGAUGAGUCAGCUUUACUUAUAGCACAAGUCAAGCUGCCGCGUGUGUUUGAAAUCUGACUGUUGGACACGUGUCAGUUCCUUAGUGGCCCAGGGUCAUUUUGGACAAAUUAGGUCGGGUUGCCUCCUGGCUAUAAAUAGCCCACCCCCUACACCAUAAAUUGGUGGCUGCUCAUAGUUAGUGCACGGCUUUUGUCGUUUGAGAGCAACCCACCUCCGAAGCAUUUGAGAGAGAGAUCCUUGCGAGGACAAAGCCCAAAACACCCAGAGCCAAAGAGUGUUAGGCAUCACUGAAGUCUUUCUGUCCGCGUGAUCUGAAGACUUGUUACACUUGAGGACUGUGAAUCCUCCAGCCGGUUAGGCGUCGCGUUCUGAGCAUCCAAGAGUCAUUGUGGAUUGCCGGUGAACGAAAUCUAUGAAGGUUUGGAAGUCUACCUUGAAGACUUACCAGAGUGAUUGGGAGAGGACUAAGUGUCCUUAACUCAAGGGGAAUAAGGUGAAGACGCUUUCUUCUGAGUUAAAUCUCAGCCUCCCUAACCAGACGUACAGUUGUCACGGCAACUGGAACUGGUCCAACAAAUCCCUGUCCUCCCCAAGCAACUGGUUCUAUCUCUUAUCUCUCUUUACUUACAGUUUGUCUUCGUGAAGUCAUUACCUGCUUGCAUGAUCUGAUUGUCUUCACUGUGUGAAGACUGCUGUUGUUUGGCUUCAUACUAUCUUCCAUCCUGAUCCAUACUACCUAACUGCUGAUAGUCUUCGUGCUUUCACUUCAUUGCUUACUUGACUAUGGCUUGUCUAGUGUAGUCUACCUUCCGCUGCAUAUCAAUAGGUUCAUUUUUAUUGUUUGUCUUCAAAGCCCCUGUGUUUUGAAGACUUUCAUAAAAAUUGCCUAUUCACGCCCCCCCCCCUCUAGUCGAUAACUAGCACUUUCAGUUCUAUCCGAUGUAAUCUUCUUUUUGUUGGGGAACGUAGCAGAAAUUCAAAAUUUUCUACGCAUCACCAAGAUCAAUCUAUGGAGUACUCUAGCAAAGAAGGGAAGGAGAGUGGAUCUACAUACCCUUGUAGAUCGCGAUGCGGAAGCGUUGCAAGAACGCGGAUGAGGGAGUCGUACUCGUAGCGAUUCAGAUCGCGGUUGAUUCCGAUCUAAGCACCGAAGAACGGUGCCUCCGCGUUCAACACACGUGCAGCCCGGUGACGUCUCCCACGCCUUGAUCCAGCAAGGAGAGAGGGAGAGGUUGGGGAAGACUCCAUCCAGCAGCAGCACGACGGCGUGGUGGUGAUGGAGGAGCGUGGCAAUCCCGCAGGGCUUCGCCAAGCACCGCGGGAGAGGAGGAGGAGGGAGAGGGGUAGGGCUGCGCCAAAAGGAGACUUUCUCGUGUCGUUAUGGCAGCCCAAACCUCAACUAUAUAUAGGGGGGGAGGGGGCUGCGCCCCCCUCUAGGGUUCCCACCCCCAAGAGGAGGCGGCCAGCCCUAGAUCCCAUCAAGGGGGGGCGGCCAAGGGGAGGAGAGGGGGGGCGCCCCACUAGAUGGGCCCUAAGGCCCAUCUGGACCUAGGGUUUGCCCCCUCCCACUCUCCCAUGCGCCUUGGGCCUUGGUGGGGGGGCGCACCAGCCCACCUGGGGCUGGUCCCCUCCCACACUUGGCCCACGCAGCCUUCUGGGGCUGGUGGCCCCACUUGGUGGACCCCCGGGACCCUCCCGAUGGUCCCGGUACAUUACCGAUAACACCCGAAACUUUUCCGGUGACCAAAACAGGACUUCCCAUAUAUAAAUCUUUACCUCCGGACCAUUCCGGAACUCCUCGUGACGUCCGGGAUCUCAUCCGGGAUUUCGAACAACAUUCGGUAACCACGUACAUACUCUCCAUAUAACCCUAGCGUCAUCGAACCUUAAGCGUGUAGACCCUACGGGUUCGGGAACCAUGCAGACAUGACCGAGACGUUCUCCGGUCAAUAACCAACAGCGGGAUCUGGAUACCCAUGUUGGCUCCCACAUGUUCCACGAUGAUCUCAUCGGAUGAACCACGAUGUCGGGGAUUCAAUCAAUCCCGUAUUCAAUUCCCUUUGUCUAUCGAUAUGUUACUUGCCCGAGAUUCGAUCGUCGGUAUCCCUAUACCUUGUUCAAUCUCGUUACCGGCAAGUCUCUUUACUCGUUCCGUAACUCACAUCAUCCCGUGAUCAACUCCUUGGUCACAUUGUGCACAUUAUGAUGAUGUCCUACCGAGUGGGCCCAGAGAUACCUCUCCGUUUACACGGAGUGACAAAUCCCAGUCUCGAUUCGUGCCAACCCAACAGAUACUUUCGGAGAUACCUGUAGUGCACCUUUAUAGUCACCCAGUUACGUUGUGACGUUUGGUACACCCAAAGCAUUCCUACGGUAUCCGGGAGUUGCACAAUCUCAUGGUCUAAGGAAAUGAUACUUGACAUUAGAAAAGCUCUGAGCAAACGAACUACACGAUCUUGUGCUAGGCUUAGGAUUGGGUCUUGUCCAUCACAUCAUUCUCCUAAUGAUGUGAUCCCGUUAUCAACGACAUCCAAUGUCCAUGGUCAGGAAACCGUAACCAUCUAUUGAUCAACGAGCUAGUCAACUAGAGGCUUACUAGGGACAUGGUGUUGUCUAUGUAUCCACACAUGUAUCUGAGUUUCCUAUCAAUACAAUUCUAGCAUGGAUAAUAAACGAUUAUCAUGAACAAGGAAAUAUAAUAAUAACCUAUUUAUUAUUGCCUCUAGGGCAUAUUUCCAACACUUUUGUGGUGUGUUUGUUGGGAUCCGAUGAAUUGUGGGUUUAUGAUCAGAUUAUUCAUUGAAAGUAGUUGAGUCUUGUCUGAAUUUUAUUAUGCAUGAUUGUUAUAGCUUUGUAUUUCCCUCCGAUCUAUCUGUUUGGUUUGCCAACUAGAUUGAUUUAUCUUCAGUGGCAUACGUGCUUUGUAAUGGGUUCAAUCUUGCGGUGUCCUCACACAAUGAUAGAAGGGGAAGCGAGACACGUAUAAUAUUGUUGCCAUUAAGUAUAAAAUUAUGGGUGUAAUCAUAUUGCUUGAGUUUACUUUGUCUACAUCAUGUCAUCUUGCUUUAGGCGUUACUCUGUUCGUCAUGAACUUAAUACCACAGAUGCAUGCUAGAUAACGGUCGAUUAGUGGAAUAAUAGUAGUAGCUGUAGACAUGAGACGGUCUACUUGUCACGGACAUGAUGACUAUAUACAUGAUCAUUGCCAUGAAUACAUCAUAACUAUGUGUUUUUCUAUCAAUUACCCAACAGUAAUUUGUUUACCCACCAUAUGCUAUGUGUUCGAGAGAGAAGCCUCUAGUGAAAACUAUGGGCCCCGGGUCUACUUUUAUCAUAUUAUUAAAACCAAAAAUACCUUGCUGCAAUUUUACACUUUUUAUUUUACUUUUAUUUUUAUCUAUGUAUCACUAUCAGAAUUAAUCCUUGCAAAUAACGAGUUCAAGGGGAAUGACAACCCUCUUGCCCGCGUUGGGUGCAAGUAUUUGCUUUUCUCUGUGUAGGUGCUGCAGAAGGGAAUUAGUGUGGUUCUUCUAUUGGUUCAAUAACUUUGGUUCUCACUGAGGGAAAUACUUAUCUCUGUUGUACUGCUUCACCCAUCCUCUUCGGGGGAAAUCCCAACACAGUUUACAAGUAGCACUACCCCUCCCUCCUCCUCCAUAGAUGCUUGGUGAAGCCCUGCCUGAGCUCCACCGUAAAAUCCACCACCACGCCAUCGUGUUGGCCUUGAUCCCAUCCACCUAUCCAUGUCGCUUGCUGGAUCAAGAAGGAGACGUCACCGAGCGAUACGUGUGCAUAUCUCAGAGGUGCCGUCCGUGUGGUACUCGAUCGGAUUGGAUCACGAAGAGAGUACGACUACGCCAACCACAUUCAUUAGAAUGUUUUCGUUUUAGGUCUACAAGGGUUUGUAAACUUUUCCCCCUCGUUGCUAGCAUCUAGUUGAUUAGAUCUUGGAUGUUUUCAUUGUCUCGUAGGAAAAAAAUUGUUUUCCAUGGAACGAUUCCCAUCACUGACCUGCUUUAAAGAAGUGGGUAGGAGCUCAGGCGACCCGGGCUCAGCAGGUGGCCAGGCGGGAGGUCCCUAAGAGGUGCAUCCAAGAAUGCAACAACCUCCAAGUAGAGAAGGCGUCCCUAGCCGAGAGGAAGAGACAACAAGAGCUGGAGCUGGAGGAAGUUAAGUCUCGCCUAGCUGAUGCCGAGAGUGACGCGGCAGGCCCUUGAGAUCAUAGCCAGUGAGUCUGUCUGUGCUUCAACUCAUAAUCUAGGUGGAAAUUUUAUUUGCCGAUCUGUCAUAGAAAUUCAUUAUUUCCAGCAUCUUUUCCCGAGCCAGUGCUGUUGGAGUGUCACUUAGGAAGAAACUGCAGCAGCUUGGAGAGUUGAACAAGAUCGCGAGGCCGACAAUGGAGGGUAUUUUCAAGGCCCUAUGGCCUGGAGAAAGGUUGUCGGAAAACCAGUUUGACCUCCCGCCGCCUCCCGGAGGGGCAUGCUCGGAUUGCCCUGUGAAAGGCCUUAGUGGCCUGAGAAGAUGCUCGUCAAGCUUGGGCCAUGCUCCAGACCCACUAUCCGGGCUUGAACAUCUGUCCUAUUGCCCUAGUUGGUCCAAAAGGACCUGUCGGUAAGGAGAUUAUGCCUAAUGGCAAUUUCCAACGGAUCAUGCCCUAUACUAGGAUGUCCGAGCAGGAUUGUCGUUUGGAAAAUAUUAUUGAAUAGGCUAGGAGCGAUUACCCUGGAAUGUCAAGGAUGAAAAGUUGUAUAAAAACUUCACGAAUUUCGCUCUAGCCAUGUUUAUUUUUUUCUAUACCGACAACAUGAUAGGUUUGGUCCGACCUGUUUAGCAUACGCUUGCAUUAACCAGCCUUUGGCUUCAACCUCCACAACCAAACGGGGAGGCCUUAUAAUUGAUGUUAACGCAAGGAGUAGGGAUCGCCAUGCAACUAGGAUGCAAACAUAUCUAUGAAUAUAUGAAAUCUCUCGCAAGGAUUAAGUAGGGGUGUGUCCAACUUGUUUGCUCAUGAAGACCUCGAGCAUUUGAUAAAGCUCAUCAUCGGGAUGUACAAGGAAAGUUCUACAACAUAAAUUCCCCAAGCUAGUAUAAAACAUGAAGCUCAUGAAACUUUAAUUAGAUGCUAAUUAUCCAGACCAACAAAAGUUCUUUAGUAAGAGUCUCUAAGAAAUAUAUUUCAUCGAAACUGUCCUACUCAGCUCGAGUGAACAGUUAAAUCCAAAAAAAAUUGAAACAAAAUUUCAAAAAAAUCUAAAUUUUUUUGGUGAUAAAUGUUUUCAAUGCUUGCAAAGUUUCAUCAUGUAAUUAUAUUUGUGGAAGUCAUGCAAAAAUAAUAUCGAUGCUUCAAAAAAGUUAUUUUCGGAGUGCUGAAUUUGUUUAUUGCCGUGACGAAGAUGAAUGCCAGUCUAUGAUGAAACUUUGCAAGGAUAUAUAACAUGUGUCAAAUUAAGCCACACACAAAAAAUCAGAAAUUUUUGAAUUCUUUCUAAAUAUUUUCAGAUUUUAUUGCUCACCCGAGCUCAUAUGAGCUCGAGCUCAGUUAAUCCGUGUCCAUGUUUCAUCCUAUUCUACUAGCAAAAACCAAUGGAGCAGAUGGUAGUGACGUGGAAAAGAAACCAUAAUAAUUUUGUAGUGAUAUAUAAUUAAAGAAACAGAAAUUUGCAAUUGCAAAUUAGGGAAUCUUAAUGUCAAAUACUGAAUUCUUCCACCCACUAGCUGUGAGACAUAUCCAUUGCAGUGCCAAAUAAAGAAACUUUUCCAUGAAUUAAUAACAGCAAGACAAUGGUCCGCGUGUUGUAUAUAAUAAAUAUUACACAGGUUUUGCAUAUGUGUAGCCGGUGCAUAUAGACCUAUGAGGAAUUACGUAUGCAUGCUCAAGAACCUAUGUUCGUACAUACAUACACAAAUCAUAUAGAACAAAAGGUAUGCUCCGGUCCGAAAGCAGAGUCGUGCAGCAGAGUUGUGGACAAAAGUGAAGUUCACAAAAGACCUUCAUACGAGAUAGGCCAUUGUUUCAACUCGUAGUUUAGGCCUUGCCGGACUCCUCGCAACCCGGUGGCCUGAAGGCGAUGAAGCUGACGCACUGCACCUGGCGCAGGUUGUCGAAGCCGAUGACACGGACAUAGGCGUCAGGGUACUCCUUCUUGACCUCCUCCACCUCGUUGAGCACCUGUGUGGCGUCGGUGCACCCAAACAUGGGCAGCUUCCACAUUGUCCAGUAUCGACCGUCGUAGUACCCGGGGGAGCUGUUGUGCUCACGGAAGACGAAGCCAACCUUGCUGAACUCGAGGCAGGGCACCCACUUGGAGCGGAUCAGGUAGUCGACCUGCUUCAGGAGGGCUUCCGUGGAGAGGGGUGGCAAGUAAGACAAGGUCUCGAACUUCUUGAUGCCCUCAAUUGGCCACACCUGAAUGAAUAGAAUGCGCACAGAUGCUCAAUACUUGGUGAUAAGUCAAUUAAUUGUACUAACAAUGCUAGAAUAAAUCAGACGGCAUGCCAAAAAUUGCUCCUUAUGGGCAGCUCUCAUAUGCAUUGCUGGGUUGUUCACAAUCAAUAAAGCUUUGGUUGUACUUAGUUCUAGUAUAUGGGUCCUAUUUCGAGGAUGGGUUUGGUUAUAUACAUCGGGGAUGUUCUGUAAGUGAAUUACUUGCACUGACAAAGAAACUCAUAUCAAUUAGUGCCCGACAUACCUGCAUGCACCUGAUCCUUCCGCCAUUGCUGACGCUGCCGAGGCUGGCGCUGGAGCGGCGGCUGACGGGGAGACCGGCUGUGGACUUGAGCCCCUGGAAGGGUGCAACGGUGGUAGCCGACGAAGCCAUCACGGCGGGGGCCAUGGUAUUCUAUUAACUGGAGGAGAGGAGGAUGCCGGCUACAGUUGAGGCCCCCAUUGCCGGGUCACCACGCUAUAUAUAGACUCGUUUCUUUGGUACAGAUGUGGUAGCGGUGGCUGACGUUCGCUGGUUGCCUCGUUUCCUUAUCUUCUCCGGAUCAGUGGAAGAAGCAUUGCCGUCGGAUACAUUGUGUGUGCUGGAAAUUUCAGUCCUUCAUGUCAUUAGGUGGCUGCCACACAACCUUUUUUCUAGCUUUGCUUGUUUUUGGGUGAGUUCCUUGAUAACAAAUUGUCUGAGGAUGCGAGUGAGUUGGGUGGGCAAAAUAUUUUCAUUUUAUCAUAAAAUUUGCUGGCUCACUCUUGAAACUAUGCUCAUAGGCGUAUAGUGUGCGUGUGUGCAAUCAUAGAGGGUGGUGUACAUACGUGUAUGUGAAUGUCUGCAUUUGUACAAUGUUUUUCAAAAUAAAAUAUAUGUUUUCUUGGUAGAAUUAACUGAACUAGCAUAGUAAAAUAUAUGUUUCCCCCCUCCAUAUCCGUCGAUGUGCCUAUGGAUUCGCCUCCCCUUGGAGGGAAGGGAAUUCUCUGUAAAGAAGUAGUGAUCUAAACGCUUUUAUAUUUCUUUACGGAGGGAGUAGGAUUUUAGUUCUUGUAGGAGUGGCGCUUGGACAGAUGGCGGCCCUUCUUCUUCGAGUCAAUCUUCCGGGAUCCGGUCGUCUUCAAGCUCCUCGGGCAUAUGCAAAACGAGAUUUGGUGUCAGGUUCUUCAGACCGAUUCAGGGAUUCGACGACGACGACUACGGCUCCAGAGCGUUCAUUCUUAGGGGCGUGUGCAUGAAGACUUCCUCGCUGCCAUCGACAAGGUCUGGCUAGAACCAGUGUGGGAGCAAAGACAACGGCUCGUUUUGACGGAGGCAAUGGUCGUUCGGUGUCGUUCGGUGGUCCAUAGACCUAGAUGUACUUUUUACUAUGUUUGAGGUGCUUUCUACUUUCGGUGAAUCUUUUCUUUUAGGGCAGGUGAUCUGCCUUUUCAUUGAUGUUUAGGAAGGUAUAGGGGAGGGCUAAAGUGCCAAAGGAAAGAAGAAAAACAUAAAAAAAAACAGAAAAGAGAUCCAGUUGCACAAAUCACUGAUGUACAAAGCGCUAGCCUAAGGCACGACUUUCGGUGAAUCUUUAUAUUAGAUCUUAUUCUUUACGCAAAAAAAAAAGAAAUUGAACUAGGAGGUAAAAGCACUAGAGGUCCUAGAACUUGGCUAACAUGUGAUGGUUUAGUCCUAAAACUUGCAAAAGUGAACUAUGUAGUCCUAUAACUUGUACACAACCUGCAAAUUUAGUCCAAAGCCAAUCAGAGGCGGCCAAGUGGCGCCAGCUGGCUGUGUUUCAUUUUGCAUAUACCCCCUUUUUUUGUCAAAUUAACCCGCAAGUACUAGUAAUACACGGGGCUAGCAGCAGCAGUAGGGCUAGCUAGUGCGGGCUUUGAGAAUUGAGAUUGGUUCAUCAUGUGAAACUGCAAUCUCCCUUCCAAUCAAACACAUUAAGAUACGCAGGUUGGGCGCUUCCUAGGCUAUGCCACGUCGGAUCGCUGGAAGACAAAACAGAUCGCUGCAAAAAAAAGAUUGCUGGGAGAAAAAAUGAUGGUCGGUUGGGCAGCGGCCAAAUAACACAUGCCUCUCGAUCUGCUUUCCCUUCCUCACUAAGAAAUAUCCAAUUCCACACGCAACCUCGUAGUCGCAUCGCUCUCCUCGACAACUGCUACGCGUCCAUGCGCCGCCACCGCCGCCACUUCUCCCGCGCCUUCUCCUCCCAGUUCCUCUCUGCCCUACGCCACCCCCGCCUCCUUGACCACCUAUCUCCUCCUCUGGGAGCACUACUUUCAGUUUUCCAUUCCAAUUGGAUGGUCUACAACAUUGAUCCAUAUUUUGUAGGAACACUUAUAUUGCUGAACUGAACUUGAUAUCAAAUCAGUGUUUAGUUUAUAAAUAAUUUCUAUAAGUGAUACAUCUUUCAGUGUAAAUGCAUUUUUUCUCAAGACUACUUGGGGAAAAAAUAGCAGACAUCAAAUGAAAUGUAUAAUUUUGUCAUCGGAAAAUCAAAUGAAAGCCACGGAAAGACCCCAAAACAUCAUAUUAAGAUCACCAUUGACUAUCCAAAUCUAAGUCCACCGCAUUCGUUAUAAAGAAAUUCUUUUCCAUGAAACUAAACCACGCCAACACUAAAAUUCAUGAACGAAAGUCAUCCAUAAUAUUAUGUUUCAUUAUAUGAGACGGUAGUUAUUUCGUCAUUUAAAGUGAUGAUAUGGCUCCAUCGUGGUAUUAGAUGUGGCCUUUCCUAUGACGAUGUGGUAUCAUCAUUUUUUUCUAAUCUAAUAAAAAGUCUUACAUAUUGGUCUCACAAUCCGAAAACUCUCCUUUGCACGCACGCGUUGGGACUGGUGAAGCGCUCCGCACAAGAAGUCAGGUUCCGACCGCGCGCUAUAUUCCUUUCCAAACUUUGGCAUGCCGUUUAACUGAGAAUGGUGGCCCCACAUAGUAUCGCAGCCCACUGUCAUGGAACUAAAUGUGUUGGGCUCACCCCACAUGUUACACGCAUUCACGGAAGGGCUAGUUGUGGUGUCAUCUUGGUUUUCACUUCAGUGUGAUUUCUUUGAUUUCACUGAAUUUCAGGAAUUUCAGUAGACACCGAAAUAUUUACCUUUCAAUCAGAAUAUUUCAGUCAUUUCAGUUGUACACAUGAAUUCAAAUAUUUUCAAAAUAUCUUUAAAUAUUGUUUUGAAUUUCAAGUGAAUAUUUUGGUCUUUUGGCCAAAAUGCAAGCUGAAAUUACUGAAAUUCAGUAACUUUGGUAGGUACUGAAACAACCGUAGGGUUUUUGCCUGAAUAUGAAUUUUGUCAUGAAACAUAUAGGGUUUUGACCUCCGAUGUAGGUUCUAUAACAAAAUUGAUAGUUUCGUCAUGGAAGGACCUAUGUUUAUGACAAAAACACAAAACAUCACAGAUAAUUCAUUAUAGAAGGCCAAAACUUUACUAGUAGAAGAUAUCUUGGGACUCGUCAAUUGGAUAUGUAAUUUGCACAUAUUUGUCUAGUCCACACGUUCUCUGGUUUAUUGGAAUUGCUGCAAUACUGUAAAAAAAUAGUAUCUAAUUGCGGUGUAAAAUGGUUAGAAAAAGUGACAUGUCUUUGAUGAAUCGAUGAUGGAAUAUGCCUCACAAGACAAGUGCACUAUGGUAUUUUGUCCUUGUCUUGUUUUGACACCUGUUGUUUGUCCUUUUUCUAGUUUUUAAAUUUUAGUUUUUGGCUUUUUAUUAUUAUCUGGUUCUCAUCAAUGUCCUACUGUUUUGCCACUAGUUUUCAAUGGGGUCACACCAUCUCUUUAUGUGUUUCCCACAGUAUUUUUUGACGUACUUUGGUAUUCCAUAAGAAUUUUCGCAUUAGAUAAUACACAUCAUAUGAUUGAGCAAAAAAUGUAAGAGAAUAAAACAUUGCAAGGCAUAGGCAUUUCCAGUUGCAAACAAAGUUUCUUUUCCAUCAAUUGAUGGCAAGACAAUAAUCCGCGGAUUGCAUAUAAUAUAUAUGUGUAUGUGUAGCCGGUGCUAUAAUUCUGACAUGCAUCCUCCUCGGCCUACGUUGGUAGGUGCUUACAUAUGCUCAUAUAUUCACAUAUGAGUAGAACCAGAAAUAAAACCGAGAAAGCAGAGCUGCUGACAAAUGUGAACUAACAUGGCAUGUAUAUCGGACUUGCACUUUAGGCCUUGCCGGAUUCCUCGCAGCCUGGUGGCCUGAAGGCAAUGAAGCUGACGCACUGCACCUGGCGCAUGUUGUCGAAGCCAAUGACGCGGACAUAGGCGUCAGGGUACUCCUUCUUGACCUCCUCCACCUCAUUGAGCACCUGCGUGGCGUCAGUGCACCCGAACAUAGGCAGCUUCCACAUUGUCCAGUAUCGACCGUCGUAGUACCCGGGGGAGCUGUUGUGCUCACGGAAGACGAAGCCAACCUUGCUAAACUCGAG
RNAcentral lists this long non-coding RNA (34972 nucleotides) under Triticum aestivum (bread wheat). RNAcentral's name for it is "long non-coding RNA (TAES_LNC023561)". The record is from RNAcentral. Lineage: Eukaryota; Viridiplantae; Streptophyta; Magnoliopsida; Poales; Poaceae.